CAGUCGCCGCGGUAAUACGUAGGUGGCAAGCGUUGUCCGGAAUUAUAGGGCGUAAAGGGUGCGUAGGCGGUUUGGCAAGUCUUGUGUGAAAUCUAUGGGCUCAACCCAUAGCCUGCACGAGAAACUACCGGGCUUGAGUGAUGGAGAGGUGAGUGGAAUUUCCGGUGUAGCGGUGAAAUGCGUAGAUAUCGGAAGGAACACCUGUGGCGAAAGCGGCUCACUGGACAUUAACUGACGCUGAUGCACGAAAGCUAGGGGAGCAAACAGGAUUAGAUACCCCCGUAGUCCCUGUCUCUUAUAC
RNAcentral lists this ribosomal RNA (301 nucleotides) under uncultured bacterium. Its description in RNAcentral is "partial 16S ribosomal RNA". It matches the Rfam family "Bacterial small subunit ribosomal RNA", at positions 509 to 807 of the family's 1533-position model. The record is from RNAcentral.